GACGAACGCUGGCGGCAUGCCUAAUACAUGCAAGUCGAGCGAACAGAUGAAGUGCUUGCACUUCUGACGUUAGCGGCGAACGGGUGAGUAACACGUAAGGAAUCUACCUAUAAGCGGGGGAUAACAUUCGGAAACGGGUGCUAAUACCGCAUAAUAUCUUCUUCCGCAUGGAAGGAGAUUGAAAGACGGCUCUGCUGUCACUUAUAGAUGACCUUGCGGUGCAUUAGUUAGUUGGUGGGGUAACGGCCUACCAAGACGAUGAUGCAUAGCCGGCCUGGGAGGGUGAUCGGCCACAUUGGGACUGAGAAACGGCCCAAACUCCUAUGGGAGGCAGCAGUAGGGAAUCUUCCGCAAUGGGCGAAAGCCUGACGGAGCAAUGCCGCGUGAGUGAAGAAGGCCUUCGGGUCGUAAAACUCUGUUAUAAGAGAAGAACAAAUUGUAGAGUAACUGCUACAGUCUUGACGGUAUCUUAUCAGAAAGCCACGGCUAACUACGUGCCAGCAGCCGCGGUAA
Molecule: ribosomal RNA, 513 nt
Filed under: uncultured bacterium
Lineage: Bacteria
Description: partial 16S ribosomal RNA
Rfam family: Bacterial small subunit ribosomal RNA
Source: RNAcentral